Molecule: ribosomal RNA, 484 nt
Filed under: uncultured bacterium
Lineage: Bacteria
Description: partial 16S ribosomal RNA
Rfam family: Bacterial small subunit ribosomal RNA
Source: RNAcentral
AUUGAACGCUGGCGGCAUGCUUUACACAUGCCAGUCGAACGGCAGCGCGGGCUUCGGCCUGGCGGCGAGUGGCGAACGGGUGAGUAAUACAUCGGAACGUGCCCAGUAGUGGGGGAUAGCUCGGCGAAAGCCGGAUUAAUACCGCAUACGACCUGAGGGUGAAAGCGGGGGAUCUUCGGACCUCGCGCUAUUGGAGCGGCCGAUGGCAGAUUAGCUAGUUGGUGGGGUAAAGGCCUACCAAGGCGACGAUCUGUAGCUGGUCUGAGAGGACGACCAGCCACACUGGGACUGAGACACGGCCCAGACUCCUACGGGAGGCAGCAGUGGGGAAUUUUGGACAAUGGGCGAAAGCCUGAUCCAGCAAUGCCGCGUGUGUGAUGAAGGCCUUCGGGUUGAAAAGCACUUUUGGCGGGAACGAAAAGGACUGUGCCAAUACCACGGUUCGAUGACGGUACCCGCAGAAUAAGCACCGGCUAACUACGUG